AUUCAACCUUGUGCUUUGUUAAAAUGAAAUCAUUCUCAGCAAAACUAAGUUCUGGAAGCAUUGUGUGUGUGCGUGUGUGUCUUUAUAAAGAGAGGGAGAG
Long non-coding RNA from Octopus sinensis (East Asian common octopus), 100 nucleotides. RefSeq lists it as uncharacterized. NCBI's taxonomy places the organism in Eukaryota, Metazoa, Mollusca, Cephalopoda, Octopoda, Octopodidae. The transcript is spliced from 3 exons. The record is from RefSeq and is a predicted model, not a curated record.